This 557-nucleotide ribosomal RNA is filed under the name Distichopora asulcata. RNAcentral's name for it is "partial 16S large subunit ribosomal RNA". It matches the Rfam family "Bacterial large subunit ribosomal RNA", at positions 1835 to 2594 of the family's 2925-position model. Lineage: Eukaryota; Metazoa; Cnidaria; Hydrozoa; Anthoathecata; Stylasteridae. The record is from RNAcentral.
CCUAGAAAAAAUCUAAGGCGAAGCCUGCCCAGUGGCUAAGAAAAAGAAUAAAAUCUUAAAAUAAGUUAAAAGGACGCAGUAUACUGACUGUGAUAAUGUAGCAUAAUCAAUCGCCAUCUAAUUAAUGGAUAGUAUGAACGGCUAAACGAAUCCUUCACUUUCUAAAAAGGAGAAAAACUUAAAUUUAAAUAAUAGUAAAGAUGCUAUUUGAAAUUGUAAGACGAAAAGACCCUAUAGAGCUUAACUAUAAACUUCUGUAUCUAGAAGGAUGGUAGUUUAGUUGGGGCGACUGCCUUCUAAAAAAAACGAAGGCAAACAAAGUUAAUAAACAACUUAUUGUAAAACUAAUAAGUUUAACAAUUACUAAAGUAGGUAUAUAGACCCGUUAUAAGAAACAAAUAUAAAUAACGAUCAAUAAAUAAAAGCUACCUUAGGGAUAACAGAAUAAUUUUGUUCUAGAGACCUUAUCGAAAACAAAGUUUGUCACCUCUAUGUUGAAUUAAGGUAUCCUGACAAAGCAGAACUUGUCUAAGGUAGGUCUGUUCGACCUUUAAAAC